Molecule: ribosomal RNA, 253 nt
Filed under: uncultured bacterium
Lineage: Bacteria
Description: partial 16S ribosomal RNA
Rfam family: Bacterial small subunit ribosomal RNA
Source: RNAcentral
UACGAAGGGGGCUAGCGUUGCUCGGAAUUACUGGGCGUAAAGCGUGCGCAGGCGGUUUUGUAAGUCUGAUGUGAAAUCCCCGGGCUCAACCUGGGAAUUGCAUUGGAGACUGCAAGGCUAGAAUCUGGCAGAGGGGGGUAGAAUUCCACGUGUAGCAGUGAAAUGCGUAGAGAUGUGGAGGAACACCGAUGGCGAAGGCAGCCCCCUGGGUCAAGAUUGACGCUCAUGCACGAAAGCGUGGGGAGCAAACAGG